CAAGGAUGAGGAUCCAAUUUCCACUUAAUAAACAGUAAACAAUCAUCAUGCCACACAGUUCAUACAUGUUGGUUGCGUACAUGUGUGUCUUUGUACAAACAUCUAAUAACUGUAGGCAUGAACUGUAGGAGAUGCUUUUGCUUCAUCAGUGUCACUUAAGUAUUUGUCAUGGAGAAGGUCCUGUGCAAGACCUACAUAAGCAGAUAGCCUAUCCUCAGAUAAGCAUAAGCGCCUAAUUGUUAGAAUCCUGUUAUUCAGAGAUAGGAAUUCAGUCCUUCUUAUUACAGAAGAAAAAGAAGAGGAAAUAAAGUAGCAAAAAGGAGCUGUUCUUUUAGGUCGAUAUUUGUAAAAACCUCUACGUGCUCCGGUUGUUCAUUCUGACGAUGUUCCUACCUUCCUUGACUUUGGCUGCUUUUUGCCUCGAUGGUGUCACCAGAUCCUUUACAAUCUGCAAGACCUGAAUCAUUGCUAGUUAACAAGCCAGAGACUACGCUGCUUCCUCCAGAAAUCCAACAGGUUUCAUCACCGAGCUCACUGCUGUUUCUGCUUUCGGGAAGCUCGGCAACACCGUUCAACUACAGAGAGACACAUGCUUUGCUUAGCUAUCCAGGAAGGCUCUGAAGCAGUUAAUAAGAAACAACGAAAGGAUAGGCUGUAUCUUCUUGAUACAAAGUGACUUCAGCACUUGUGAAAACCACCAUCCUCAAAGUCCAAAUGUAUCACUUUACAAAGCAUUAACCAGAUAUAAACAAAACAAAACAAAACAAAACAAAAUAAAACGCAGUGUGGGCAAUCUUCUGCAAAUCACUAAGCACAGUGAAAACAUUUUCUCACAAAAGUCAUGACAGGAAAAAUAAAGUGCUGUGCUAUAAAUUCUCAUAUAGCGGAUCACAGAUGCUAUGUGCAAGUUUUAAAAACACUCAGAAGCAGUCAACCAAAAUACCCUGCACUGCAAAGCCUUAAUACUUUUUUUCCCAAUUUCUCAAAAAUCUCAUAUUUGAAACACAGAAAAUAAAAUGAAGCUAAAAAUAAUACUCUUGCAAACUCCAAGCUCCCAGGUCUGUAUAACAGAUAGGAACCUUCAAAAAUGAGCCUAUAAAUUCCUUGCCCUCCUCCUCAUGCAGACACCUCUGACAUCCUAGUACAUGAAAAGAAGUCUAAAUUCACACUUCCCGCUAGAAAUCCCUGAAGGGUUGAAAUUCAUUGGCCUCACCACUAAGAGGCAUGAGCCAGACAGAGACUGUGCAAAUCAGGUAUAACCACCAUUUUUGCCUCACAGUUUUCAACACCUAAGCUGCAACAACGCCCAAUUAAUAUUGAAUACCUCUGUUACAUAUUCUAUUUACCAUACACAUCCCCUUUUCAAAGGGCUACAGAGUUAAUGAAAAGAGAAAACUGACAUUUGGUGCUAAUGUGGUUAAAUAUUGUAUUUACUGAAUGAUUCUCCACCGGCAAUGUGUUCUCCUUACUGUACCUCCCAACUGUCCCCUCAGUUUUUCUUCUUUCCCAUUUGUUACUUUUGAUAUCCUUAAUGUAUCAUUAAAUAAUGGAUCUCGGGGCGCCUGGGUGGCGCAGUCGGUUAAGCUCCCGACUUCAGCCAGGUCACGAUCUCGCGGUCCGUGAGUUCGAGC
Felis catus (domestic cat) is the source of this 1631-nucleotide long non-coding RNA. RefSeq lists it as uncharacterized. The record is from RefSeq and is a predicted model, not a curated record. Lineage: Eukaryota; Metazoa; Chordata; Mammalia; Carnivora; Felidae. The transcript is spliced from 3 exons.